GGAAUUCAAUCCAAUGCACUAUACAUGCAAGUCGUACGCUAGCCGCUGAAUUGAUCCUUCGGGUGAAGUGAGGCAAUGACUAGAGUGGCGAACUGGUGAGUAACACGUAAGAAACCUGCCCUUUAGUGGGGGAUAACAUUUGGAAACAGAUGCUAAUACCGCGUAACAACAAAUCACACAUGUGAUCUGUUUGAAAGGUCCUUUUGGAUCGCUAGAGGAUGGUCUUGCGGCGUAUUAGCUUGUUGGUAGGGUAGAAGCCUACCAAGGCAAUGAUGCGUAGCCGAGUUGAGAGACUGGCCGGCCACAUUGGGACUGAGACACUGCCCAAACUCCUACGGGAGGCUGCAGUAGGGAAUUUUCCGCAAUGCACGAAAGUGUGACGGAGCGACGCCCCGUGUGUGAUGAAGGCUUUCGGGUCGUAAAGCACUGUUGUAAGGGAAGAAUAACUGAAUUCAGAGAAAGUUUUCAGCUUGACGGUACCUUACCAGAAAGGGAUGGCUAAAUACGUGCCAGCAGCCGCGGUAAUACGUAUGUCCCGAGCGUUAUCCGGAUUUAUUGGGCGUAAAGCGAGCGCAGACGGUUUAUUAAGUCUGAUGUGAAAUCCCGAGGCCCAACCUCGGAACUGCAUUGGAAACUGAUUUACUUGAGUGCGAUAGAGGCAAGUGGAACUCCAUGUGUAGCGGUGAAAUGCGUAGAUAUGUGGAAGAACACCAGUGGCGAAAGCGGCUUGCUAGAUCGUAACUGACGUUAAGGCUCGAAAGUAUGGGUAGCAAACGGGAUUAGAUACCCCCGGUAGUCCAUACCGUAAACGAUGGGUGCUAGUUGUUAAGAAGUUUCCGCCUCCCGAGUGACGUAGCAUACGCAUUAAGCACCCCGCCCGGACGAGUACAGGCCGCA
Molecule: ribosomal RNA, 897 nt
Filed under: Oenococcus oeni
Lineage: Bacteria; Bacillati; Bacillota; Bacilli; Lactobacillales; Lactobacillaceae
Description: bacterial SSU rRNA
Rfam family: Bacterial small subunit ribosomal RNA
Source: RNAcentral